Erpetoichthys calabaricus (reedfish) is the source of this 2017-nucleotide long non-coding RNA. RefSeq lists it as uncharacterized. The record is from RefSeq and is a predicted model, not a curated record. The transcript is spliced from 2 exons. NCBI's taxonomy places the organism in Eukaryota, Metazoa, Chordata, Cladistia, Polypteriformes, Polypteridae.
UCUUUGUGACAUUUAAAGACUGAAAGGACAUGAAGAGUGUGAGAUGAGUAGAAGAAAUCUGAGACCCUGAAUAUCGAGACCACCGUCCAUUUUGUAACUCGCUUAUCUAAUUCAGGGUCACAGGGGGCUGUCAAUGUGGGAGGGGGCAACACGGUUAAGAACCAACCUACGACACCAGAGCUGAAGGCCGGACCACCAAUCACUGUGCUACUACGAGACCACCAGUCAGACAAACAUGAAUUCCUAUCUAGUGUUAUAUACUUCUAUUGUUAAACGUGGACUGAAAUACACAACACUGUAAGUCUGUGAGAAGUUCAUCAACACUGAGAUGAGUUUGUGAUGAAAUGAAAUAAAACAGAAAUGAAAAUAAAGAAAAAAUAAAUCAUCGACAUCAGUGAGGUGUCCUCUGUAAUAAAAUGGCUUCUCGUGAACUUCUUUGAGGGUCCACCUCACAAUCUGAAACUCAGCGUCAUUUCAGUGACACACACAGGUGGUCUGCUGCAGUGCUGGAGUCGGAGUGUGAUACAGAAAUGACAAUAAUAAGUUUAAUUCAUGAACAGAGUGCUAGACGUGAUGAAAAGAACUGAAGAAAAAGAAUUAAAAAAUGGACGACUUCACAGAAAUCAAAAUUCAGAAUUGUGUGUGAAUGGCACCCUCUUGUGGCUAUUAAGUGUAAUUAAAAUAAUUAAAAAUGGACCAAGCAAAAUGACACCUUUUACUGGCUAACUAAAAAGAUUACAAUAUGCAAGCUUUCGAGGCAACUCAGGCCCCAUCUUACCUGAAGAAGGGUCCUGAGUUGCCUCGAAAGCUUGCAUAUUGUAAUCUUUUUAGUUAGCCAGUAAAAGGUGUCAUUUUGCUUGGCUUUUCUCUACAUUCAUAAUGGCUAACACGGUACAACACCCUAGUACUUACAAAUGGACCCAAAUUCAUUAAUCCUGUCCUCGUCUGAAUCAGUUUAUUUAUUGUGCAUUUGAGUGUAAAGGCUUAUGUGAGACUCAGAAAUGUCACUUUGUAAUUUAUAAAUGUACUCAAAUAGAGUCAGGCACAGAGCUGCAAGUGUGUUUGUCUGGUGUUACCAGUUACCAGGGGAUGUGCAACUGCGAGAACUGGGAGAAAAGUCAUGUGACACCAGGAGAACACACUAACUGCACAGAGACGCUGAGCAUGAUGGGAUUUGAAGUCUGGAGCUGUGAGGCACUGGGCCACUUGGGGGCUUAAUAAUAAUAGUAAUAAUAAUAAUAAUAAAGUUACAUUUGUUGAACAGAAGCCUCUACAAAUACACAUCAGCCUGCAGUAUGAAAGUUGACGUCACUGAUGGAGAUUUGCUGAGUGACUUUGCAGUUGUAGAUAAACUCGUGUCAUCAGCGUGAUCUUCAUGCUCUUCCUCUCACUAAUCACACUCACUGCUCUCGUCUUCACACAACACCACACACAUGUCAGGGUCUCACUGUUUGUAUCUUUGACUUUCUUUCAUGUUAAUGAAACUCUAAACAUGAUGUUUUAUGUUUGUCAAGCAGACAGGUCAGAGUUUCCUGUAAUCUGCACACUUGUCAGUAAACCUGAACUUGAAUGUUUGCUCAUCUUCUUCUUUCUUGGAGGAAUAUUUUGGAAGAAGAAGCCGUCAGGUUCAACAUGAAUGAAUAAAACCUUUGCUGUAUGUUGAAUUUUCACACCCAGAUAGUGAAAUACGUGACACAGAAAAUGAAGAGCAGCAGAACAAAGUGUGACAGGUGAGGUGUGACUUUGAGGAAGGCCACCCAGAUAUGUCAUUAGAUGGAACUUCAUGCUCUUGUUUGUGUAGAUGAAGAAAACUUGAAAAGUUAUAAAAGUAAUUUCAAUGACGUGUGUCUGAGGAAAUAUUGUAUUUUUAUCUUUAAAGUAUUAAAAGAUCAGAUUUAUGUGACUUUCAUGUUUAAAAAGCCUGAUAAACACAAAAGGAGAAUUGUUGGAUUUCAAAUUCCACUGUUAAUUCUGUUCAUGUCCACACAUUUCUUCAUUUAAACAUCAAUCCCACUGA